Molecule: ribosomal RNA, 432 nt
Filed under: uncultured bacterium
Lineage: Bacteria
Description: partial 16S ribosomal RNA
Rfam family: Bacterial small subunit ribosomal RNA
Source: RNAcentral
ACGAACGCUGGCGGCCUGCCUAACCCCUGCCAGUCGCACGAGACCUUCGGGUCUAGUGGCGCACGGGUGCGUAACGCGUGGGAACCUGCCCUUAGGUUCGGAAUAACUCCCCGAAAGGGGUGCUAAUACCGGAUAAUGUCUUCGGACCAAAGAUUUAUCGCCUUUGGAUGGGCCCGCGUUGGAUUAGCUAGUUGGUAGGGUAAAAGCCUACCAAGGCGACGAUCCAUAGCUGGUCUGAGAGGAUGAUCAGCCACACUGGGACUGAGACACGGCCCAGACUCCUACGGGAGGCAGCAGUGGGGAAUAUUGGACAAUGGGCGAAAGCCUGAUCCAGCAAUGCCGCGUGAGUGAUGAAGGCCUUAGGGUUGUAAAGCUCUUUUACCCGGGAUGAUAAUGACAGUACCGGGAGAAUAAGCGCCGGCUAACUCCGUG